Triticum aestivum (bread wheat) is the source of this 273-nucleotide long non-coding RNA. RefSeq lists it as uncharacterized. The record is from RefSeq and is a predicted model, not a curated record. The transcript has 3 exons. NCBI's taxonomy places the organism in Eukaryota, Viridiplantae, Streptophyta, Magnoliopsida, Poales, Poaceae.
GCUCGGUUGUUCAGAUUAUCAUGGAUGAGAUGAUAAGGAAGCGCCUGAUAUAGCUUUCAAAAUUGAAGUUGGGUCGCCGAAUUGAGGCCAAGGCCCAUGUUGUUCUGCAUUUUUACAGAUGGUCUUCUGUGAUCAAAUUGGCGUCUCAAUUUCAACAAGGAUGCUGAUAUGAUGAUUGAGGAAAUGAAGCUUAGAGUUGUCUACACAUUGCCCAGUGGAAGCUCAGACAACAACGGAGUUACAUCUUUGGCAUACAGGAGCUUCAGGAACUUC